GAGAAGUACGUAGCACUACGUAUUGUAAAGUGGCGCACGGGUGAGUAACACGUGGGUAAUCUGCCCUUGAGUUUGGGAUAACCCCGCGAAAGCGGGGCUAAUACCGGAUAAGACCACGGGGACCAACGUCCCUGAGGUAAAAGAUGGCCUCUAUUUAUAAGCUAUCACUUAAGGAUGAGCCCGCGGCCCAUUAGCUAGUUGGCGGGGUAACGGCCCACCAAGGCUAUGAUGGGUAGCUGGUCUGAGAGGACGAUCAGCCACACUGGAACUGAGACACGGUCCAGACUCCUACGGGAGGCAGCAGUGGGGAAUAUUGCGCAAUGGGCGAAAGCCUGACGCAGCAACGCCGCGUGGGGGAUGAAGGUUUUCGGAUUGUAAACCCCUUUCGACCGGAACGAAUCUCCUCUUGGUAAAUAAUCAGGAGGAUCGACGGUACCGGGAGAAGAAGCCACGGCUAACUCUGUGCCAGCAGCCGCGGUAAGACAGAGGUGGCUAGCGUUGUUCGGAUUUAUUGGGCGUAAAGCGAACGCAGGUGGUUUGGUAAGUCAGGGGUGAAAGUUCGCAGCUUAACUGCGACACUGCCUUUGAUACUGCCUUUCUUGAGUGCAUGAGGGGGAAGCGGAAUUCCGAGUGUAGAGGUGAAAUUCGUAGAUAUUCGGAGGAACACCGGUGGCGAAGGCGGCUUCCUGGCAUGUAACUGACACUCAUGUUCGAAAGCGUGGGUAGCAAACAGGAUUAGAUACCCUGGUAGUCCACGCCCUAAACGAUGGGCACUAGGUGUGGGAGGUAUCGACCCCUUCCGUGCCGCAGCUAACGCAUUAAGUGCCCCGCCUGGGGAGUACGGCCCGCAAGGUUGAAACUCAAA
Molecule: ribosomal RNA, 865 nt
Filed under: uncultured bacterium
Lineage: Bacteria
Description: bacterial SSU rRNA
Rfam family: Bacterial small subunit ribosomal RNA
Source: RNAcentral